RNAcentral lists this ribosomal RNA (497 nucleotides) under uncultured bacterium. RNAcentral's name for it is "bacterial SSU rRNA". It matches the Rfam family "Bacterial small subunit ribosomal RNA", at positions 31 to 524 of the family's 1533-position model. The record is from RNAcentral.
GAACGCUAGCGGCAGGCCUCAUACAUGCAAGUCGAGGGGCAGCAGGGCACUUAGGUGCUGCUGGCGACCGGCGAACGGGUGCGUAACACGUAUGCAAUCUGCCUUGUACUGGGGGAUAGCUUUCGGAAACGAGAAUUAAUAUCCCAUAUACUCCUAACAGCGCAUGCUGAUAGGAGAAAAGCUUUGGCGGUACAAGAUGAGCAUGCGCCCCAUUAGUUAGUUGGUAAGGUAACGGCUUACCAAGGCUACGAUGGGUAGGGGUUCUGAGAGGAAAAUCCCCCACACUGGCACUGAGAUACGGGCCAGACUUCUACGGAAGGCAGCAGUAGGGAAUAUUGGUCAAUGGGCGCAAGCCUGAACCAGCCAUGCCGCGUGCAGGAUGAAGGCCCUCAGGGUCGUAAACUGCUUUUGUACGGGAACAAAAAGCUCCUGCGGGAGUUAUUGAGGGUACCGUAAGAAUAAGCACCGGCUAACUCCGUGCCAGCAGCCGCGGUAAU